This 425-nucleotide ribosomal RNA is filed under the name uncultured prokaryote. RNAcentral describes it as "bacterial SSU rRNA". It matches the Rfam family "Bacterial small subunit ribosomal RNA", at positions 355 to 796 of the family's 1533-position model. The record is from RNAcentral.
UGGGGAAUUUUCCGCAAUGGGCGCAAGCCUGACGGAGCAAUACCGCGUGGGGGAUGAAGGUUUGUGGAUUGUAAACCCCUUUUCUCUAGGAAGAAAUUUGACGGUACUAGAGGAAUAAGCAUCGGCUAACUCCGUGCCAGCAGCCGCGGUAAGACGGAGGAUGCAAGCGUUAUCCGGAAUUAUUGGGCGUAAAGGGUCCGCAGGUGGCUAAUCAAGUCUGCUUUCAAAGAGUGGAGCUCAACUCCAUAGAGGGAGUGGAAACUGAUUAGCUAGAGUAAGGAAGGGGUAAGAGGAAUUCCCAGUGUAGCGGUGAAAUGCGUAGAUAUUGGGAAGAACACCAGCAGCGAAGGCGUCUUACUGGUCCUUAACUGACACUGAGGGACGAAAGCUAGGGGAGCGAAAGGGAUUAGAUACCCCCGUAGUCC